CCUACGGGAGGCAGCAGUGAGGAAUAUUGGUCAAUGGACGCAAGUCUGAACCAGCCAUGCCGCGUGAAGGAUGACGGCUCUAUGAGUUGUAAACUUCUUUUAUACGAGGGUAAUAUCAGAUACGUGUAUCUGCUUGAAAGUAUCUUACGAAUAAGGAUCGGCUAACUCCGUGCCAGCAGCCGCGGUAAUACGGAGGAUCCGAGCGUUAUCCGGAUUUAUUGGGUUUAAAGGGUGCGUAGGCGGUUUUAUAAGUUAGAGGUGAAAAUUUGCGGCUCAACUGCGGAAGUGCCUUUAAUACUGUAUGACUAGAGUACAGAUGAGGUAGGCGGAAUGUAUGGUGUAGCGGUGAAAUGCGUAGAGAUCAUACAGAACCCCGAUUGCGAAGGCAGCUUACCAAACUAUAUCUGACGUUGAGGCACGAAAGCGUGGGUAGCAAACAGGAUUAGAUACCCCAGUAGUC
This 460-nucleotide ribosomal RNA is filed under the name uncultured bacterium. RNAcentral describes it as "partial 16S ribosomal RNA". It matches the Rfam family "Bacterial small subunit ribosomal RNA", at positions 338 to 795 of the family's 1533-position model. The record is from RNAcentral.